RNAcentral lists this ribosomal RNA (393 nucleotides) under uncultured bacterium. RNAcentral describes it as "partial 16S ribosomal RNA". It matches the Rfam family "Bacterial small subunit ribosomal RNA", at positions 523 to 918 of the family's 1533-position model. The record is from RNAcentral.
AUACGUAGGUGGCAAGCGUUGUCCGGAAUUAUUGGGCGUAAAGGAUGCGUAGGCGGCCUUUUAAGUGGGAUGUGAAAUACCCGGGCUUAACCCGGGAAUAGCAUUCCAAACUGGAAGGCUAGAGUGCAGGAGAGGAAAGUGGAAUUCCCAGUGUAGCGGUGAAAUGCGUAGAGAUUGGGAGGAACACCAGUGGCGAAGGCGACUUUCUGGACUGUAACUGACGCUGAGGCAUGAAAGCGUGGGGAGCAAACAGGAUUAGAUACCCUGGUAGUCCACGCCGUAAACGAUGAGUACUAGGUGUAGGGGAGCCAUUCUCUGUGCCGCAGUUAACACAUUAAGUACUCCGCCUGGGAAGUACGGUCGCAAGACUAAAACUCAAAUGAAUUGACGGGG